GGGUAUAUAGCUCAGUGGUAGAGUGUGUGCUCAGCAUGCACAAGGUCCUGGAGUCAAUCCCUAGUACUUCCA
This 72-nucleotide transfer RNA is filed under the name Camelus bactrianus (Bactrian camel). It matches the Rfam family "tRNA". From Rfam's summary of the family: Transfer RNA (tRNA) molecules are approximately 80 nucleotides in length. Their secondary structure includes four short double-helical elements and three loops (D, anti-codon, and T loops). RNAcentral also lists the same sequence under 1 other name. Lineage: Eukaryota; Metazoa; Chordata; Mammalia; Artiodactyla; Camelidae. The record is from Rfam by way of RNAcentral.